This 459-nucleotide ribosomal RNA is filed under the name uncultured bacterium. RNAcentral's name for it is "partial 16S ribosomal RNA". It matches the Rfam family "Bacterial small subunit ribosomal RNA", at positions 338 to 795 of the family's 1533-position model. The record is from RNAcentral.
CCUACGGGUGGCAGCAGUGAGGAAUAUUGGUCAAUGGGCGGGACCCUGAACCAGCCACGCCGCGUGCAGUAAGAAGGCGCCCAUCGUCGUACACUUCUUUUGUCGGGGAACACAGUGCGCCACGUGUGGCGUUGUGAGUGUACCCGCAGAAACAGCAUCGGCUAACUCCGUGCCAGCAGCCGCGGUAAUACUGAGUAUGCUAGCGUUAGCCGGAUUUAUUGGGUUUAAAGGGUGCGUAGGCGGUCCGGACAGUCAGCGGUAAAAGCCCGGGGCUCAACCCCGGCGAGCCGUGGAAACUGUCGGACUAGAGACGGCGAGAAGUACGCGGAAUGCGCGGUGUAGCGGUGAAAUGCAUAGAUAUCGCGCAGAACUCCGAUUGCGAAGGCAGCGUACCGGCGCCGGACUGACGCUGAGGCACGAAAGCGUGGGUAUCGAACAGGAUUAGAUACACGAGUAGUC